UGCCAGCAGCCGCGGUAAUACAGAGGGUGCGAGCGUUAAUCGGAUUUACUGGGCGUAAAGCGUGCGCAGGCGGUUAUGUAAGACAGAUGUGAAAUCCCCGGGCUCAACCUGGGAACUGCGUUUGUGACUGCAUAACUAGAGUACGGCAGAGGGAGGUGGAAUUCCGCGUGUAGCAGUGAAAUGCGUAGAUAUGCGGAGGAACACCGAUGGCGAAGGCAGCCUCCUGGGCCAGUACUGACGCUCAUGCACGAAAGCGUAGGGAGCAAACAGGAUUAGAUACCCUGGUAGUCC
This 291-nucleotide ribosomal RNA is filed under the name uncultured bacterium. RNAcentral's name for it is "partial 16S ribosomal RNA". It matches the Rfam family "Bacterial small subunit ribosomal RNA", at positions 506 to 796 of the family's 1533-position model. The record is from RNAcentral.